AAGGGGGCCAAUUUUGCCUUGGUUGGGUUUUUAAACCCCUUUAAAAGUUUAUUUUUUUUUUUUUAAAGGACAAAUGGAUGUGAUCCCAAAGUAAUUGUAACAUAGUAAUUGGGAGGAUCUUUGAUCACCUCGGUGCCAUGCUAGUUACAUAUGAAAACAUUAUUUAAUACAAUGACAAAGCCUAGAAUCAAUUGUAAACGACUUUUGUAACGGGCAAGGUGUUGUAAGUGGUUGAGCAGCUGCCAUACUGCGAUCCACUGAAGCUUAUCCUUUGCUUGAUGAUUCGA
This 287-nucleotide non-coding RNA is filed under the name Drosophila ananassae. RNAcentral describes it as "Eukaryotic large subunit ribosomal RNA". It matches the Rfam family "Eukaryotic large subunit ribosomal RNA", at positions 3152 to 3401 of the family's 3401-position model. The record is from Rfam by way of RNAcentral. Lineage: Eukaryota; Metazoa; Arthropoda; Insecta; Diptera; Drosophilidae.